CCUACGGGGGGCAGCAGUCGAGAAUCAUUCACAAUGGGGGAAACCCUGAUGGUGCGACGCCGCGUGGGGGAAUGAAGGUCUUCGGAUUGUAAACCCCUGUCAUGUGGGAGCAAAUUAAAAAGAUAGUACCACAAGAGGAAGAGACGGCUAACGCUGUGCCAGCAGCCGCGGUAAUACAGAGGUCGCAAGCGUUGUUCGGAAUCACUGGGCGUAAGGCGUGCGUAGGCUGUUUCGUAAGUCGUGUGUGAAAGGCGCGGGCUCAACCCGCGGACGGCACAUGAUACUGCGAGACUAGAGUAAUGGAGGGGGAACCGGAAUUCUCGGUGUAGCAGUGAAAUGCGUAGAGAUCGAGAGGAACACUCGUGGCGAAGGCGAGUUCCUGGACAUUAACUGACGCUGAGGCACGAAGGCCAGGGGAGCGAAAGGGAUUAGAUACCCUUGUAGUC
This 446-nucleotide ribosomal RNA is filed under the name uncultured bacterium. RNAcentral's name for it is "partial 16S ribosomal RNA". It matches the Rfam family "Bacterial small subunit ribosomal RNA", at positions 338 to 795 of the family's 1533-position model. The record is from RNAcentral.